AACGUCUCCAAGAAUCCUAACCU
Molecule: non-coding RNA, 23 nt
Filed under: Arabidopsis thaliana (thale cress)
Lineage: Eukaryota; Viridiplantae; Streptophyta; Magnoliopsida; Brassicales; Brassicaceae
Source: RNAcentral